This 426-nucleotide long non-coding RNA is filed under the name Ananas comosus (pineapple). RNAcentral describes it as "long non-coding RNA (ACOM_LNC009100)". The record is from RNAcentral. Lineage: Eukaryota; Viridiplantae; Streptophyta; Magnoliopsida; Poales; Bromeliaceae.
AGAGUCGGCGGGGCAGGAACAUCAUCGUUGGGGAUAGAGUUCGAUAUGUCGAGAUAUCUGCUAAAAGAUUGAAGAAGUUACGCGUCGGCGGGGCAGGAGCUCGGCGGCGGCGCAGAAUGGUCGCCGGCGGCCUCUGGAGUUUUUUGACGACUUAAAGUACUUAGGAAAAUCUUACACUAUUUUUGGACAACUUAAAGUACUUAGGAUAACAUGUUAAAAAUAUUUAUUUACCAGUUCUUCCUCAAACGAGUUUUGCUUGCACUGGUUAGAGUUACGUUGCACAUUUAAUUAAUUCAUUACAAUAAUUGGAGAAGUUCCCACGAUUAAGUUGUUCACGUCGAACGGGAUUAAUAGUACAACGCGGUGUAAACGAGGUCAACUAAGUUAGUAUGGUGGAAUUUUAUCGUAAAAAUCGUUCAAUGGUUU